RNAcentral lists this ribosomal RNA (280 nucleotides) under uncultured bacterium. RNAcentral describes it as "partial 16S ribosomal RNA". It matches the Rfam family "Bacterial small subunit ribosomal RNA", at positions 28 to 307 of the family's 1533-position model. The record is from RNAcentral.
GACGAACGCUGGCGGCGUGCUUAACACAUGCAAGUCGAGCGGUAAGGCCCUUUCGGGGUACGACGAGCGGCGAACGGGUGAGUAACACGUGGGUGACCUGCCCUCAGCUCUGGGAGUAAGCCCGGGAAACGUGGGUCUAAUACUGGAUAUGACUCCACGGUGCAUGCCGGUGGGGUGGAAAGCCUUGUGCGGCUGAGGAUGGGCCCGCGGCCUAUCAGCUUGUUGGUGGGGUGAGGCCUACCAAGGCGACGACGGGUAGCCGGCCUGAGAGGGCGACCGG